RNAcentral lists this ribosomal RNA (503 nucleotides) under uncultured bacterium. RNAcentral describes it as "bacterial SSU rRNA". It matches the Rfam family "Bacterial small subunit ribosomal RNA", at positions 47 to 507 of the family's 1533-position model. The record is from RNAcentral.
CCUAAGACAUGCAAGUCGAACGAAGUGGCCCAUUGAAGAUGGAGUGCUUGCACAAAGUCAGAUUUGGUUUACCACUUAGUGGCAGACGGGUGAGUAACACGUGGGUAACCUACCUCAAAGACUGGGACAACAGUUGGAAACGACUGCUAAUACCGGAUAAUCCAUAUUUAGAUAACUAGAUAUGUUAAAAGAAGCGUUUGCUUCACUUUGAGAUGGGCUUGCGGCGCAUUAGAUAGUUGGUGGGGUAAUGGCCUACCAAGUCGACGAUGCGUAUCCGAGCUGAGAGGCUGAUCGGACACACUGGGACUGAGACACGGCCCAGACUCCUACGGGAGACAGCAGUUAGGAAUAUUCGUCAAUGGGGGAAACCCUGAACGAGCAAUGCCGCGUGAAGGAUGACGGUCCUAUGGAUUGUAAACUUCUGUUGUUAGGGAAGAACGACCUGUGUAGGAAAUGACACAGGAGUGACGGUACCUUUCAAGAAAGCUCCGGCUAACUACGUG